RNAcentral lists this unclassified non-coding RNA (229 nucleotides) under Melitaea cinxia (Glanville fritillary). Its description in RNAcentral is "misc RNA ENSMCXG00005021486.1". Lineage: Eukaryota; Metazoa; Arthropoda; Insecta; Lepidoptera; Nymphalidae. The record is from RNAcentral.
UUCAGGGUGCGAUUUUGUUGAGGUCCUUGGCGUGGCGGACACGUGCGGUGCCGUUGUUGCCGGUGAUACCACGUGGCAGGUUUUUGUGAGUUGGCUGCUAGGACCCCAACAUCUACGAUAGAGAACUGAGCAAAAUUUUUUAACCCUGGCUGACCUCGUGAUGGAGAUGGUGUCGUGGAGAUGGACAACUGAACUCGAGAGACUGGCGGGUGAUCAUCCAGGGAGUUUC